Non-coding RNA from Triticum aestivum (bread wheat), 115 nucleotides. Lineage: Eukaryota; Viridiplantae; Streptophyta; Magnoliopsida; Poales; Poaceae. The record is from Rfam.
UCACUACUCCCUCCGAUUCAUGUUACUUGUCACUCAAACAGAUGUAUCUAGCAUUGAAAUACAUCUAGAUACAUCCAUUUGAGCGACAAGUAAUAUGGAUCGGAGGGAGUAGUAA